RNAcentral lists this transfer RNA (65 nucleotides) under Peirates arcuatus. Its description in RNAcentral is "tRNA-Glu". It matches the Rfam family "tRNA". Rfam says of the family: Transfer RNA (tRNA) molecules are approximately 80 nucleotides in length. The record is from RNAcentral. Lineage: Eukaryota; Metazoa; Arthropoda; Insecta; Hemiptera; Reduviidae.
AUUUAUAUAGUUUACUAUAAAAACAUUUCAUUUUCAAUGAAAAAAUGGGACUUUCCCUGUAAAUA